UCGGAUUUGUGGUCUCCACCGACUUUGUGGGUGAUAGCAGAUCAAGCAUUUUUGAUGCAAAGGCUGGAAUUGCAUUGAGUAAGAAUUUUGUGAAGCUUGUGUCGUGGUACGACAAUGAGUGGGGAUACAGCUCCCGCGUGAUUGACCUGCUUGUUCACGUUGCCAAGAAGUCUGCAUAAAUAGUACCUUAUUAUGUUUAGUGUCUUGCUCGUGAAAAAAAUGAGUCUGAAUAAAUCUGUUUUCCCGAACCAGUGCACUGUUAGGAGCAUUAAGCUGCUCUUCUCUCUUUUCUAGCUUUUUGGCGUGGCAUCUUUUGUGGAGGGGAUGGAGUUUUUGUACUUUUAUAUACUUGCUGAUGUUGUACUCGGCUUUAUUGAUUCUAAUAUUAGACACUUGCCCUCCUUUAUUCAAC
Non-coding RNA from Cajanus cajan (pigeon pea), 412 nucleotides. The record is from RefSeq and is a predicted model, not a curated record. Lineage: Eukaryota; Viridiplantae; Streptophyta; Magnoliopsida; Fabales; Fabaceae.